CACGAGGUGGGCGGGGCGCCGCCCUUUGCCAGUGGGGAGGCUGGCGGGUCGGUCUGGAUGGGGCUGGCGGUGUGUCAGGCUCCCAGUGACGUGCAGGCCGAGCGAGCGCGACGUGUGGACGCGAGUGUGGCAGAAUCUGUGAACACGCGCGGCGUGCAUCGUGUCCUCAGUGUCUGUCACUAUAAUCCUCAUUCAGCUGAGAGAGCCCAACAGCAACAAUGCCCCAGCAGCAAAGCACACAUGGAACACCAGAUCCUGGGUUCUAAUCCCAUCUCCAGUAGAACGGCCAGGGCUCCUUGGAGAAAUGACUGAUCCUAGGACCGGGGCAGAAAAUAUACAAGCUGAGCCUGGACCAACUCGUAGUGCCAGAAAGCAAGACACGGAAUUAGAGUGUAAAAACCUGCUCCGGGAAGACAUACGUCAACUUCAAGAGACAGGAACAGACCACACCCAUGCUGCCACAUGCCUCCUUCAUCC
Herpailurus yagouaroundi (jaguarundi) is the source of this 477-nucleotide long non-coding RNA. RefSeq lists it as uncharacterized. The record is from RefSeq and is a predicted model, not a curated record. The transcript has 3 exons. NCBI's taxonomy places the organism in Eukaryota, Metazoa, Chordata, Mammalia, Carnivora, Felidae.